Molecule: ribosomal RNA, 432 nt
Filed under: uncultured bacterium
Lineage: Bacteria
Description: partial 16S ribosomal RNA
Rfam family: Bacterial small subunit ribosomal RNA
Source: RNAcentral
ACGAACGCUGGCGGCAGGCCUAACACCUGCCAGUCGAGCGCGCCCUUCGGGGUGAGCGGCGGACGGGUGAGUAACGCGUGGGAACGUGCCCUUCUCUGCGGAAUAGCCUCGGGAAACUGAGAGUAAUACCGCAUACGCCCUUUGGGGGAAAGAUUUAUCGGAGAAGGAUCGGCCCGCGUUGGAUUAGGUAGUUGGUGGGGUAAUGGCCCACCAAGCCGACGAUCCAUAGCUGGUUUGAGAGGAUGAUCAGCCACACUGGGACUGAGACACGGCCCAGACUCCUACGGGAGGCAGCAGUGGGGAAUCUUAGACAAUGGGGGCAACCCUGAUCUAGCCAUGCCGCGUGAGUGAUGAAGGCCUUAGGGUUGUAAAGCUCUUUCAGCUGGGAAGAUAAUGACGGUACCAGCAGAAGAAGCCCCGGCUAACUCCGUG